RNAcentral lists this small nuclear RNA (107 nucleotides) under Hordeum vulgare. The record is from RNAcentral. Lineage: Eukaryota; Viridiplantae; Streptophyta; Magnoliopsida; Poales; Poaceae.
GUCCCUUCGGGGACAUCUAAUAAAAUCAAAAUGAUUGAUAUAGAGAGGAUUAGCAUGUCCCCCGCGCAAAGAUGACAUGUACAAAUUGAGAACUGGUCCAUUUCCUC